AGGUGGAGGGUGAGAAGGCUAGCACUCCUUGCGCUGGCCUCCGUCACGUUUCUAUCGGCUGUGGGGAAUUGGGAAGAAGAGCUUUGAGCCACUCGCUCUGCCAGGUAAUGUGGCUACGACACGGCCCGCUGUAGCGCCGGGCCUGAGUCUUAAAUCUGAGGUUAAUUCUGAACGAUGCUCCGGCUUGCGGCCCCCUUCGCCUGGCCCCGGCCGAACCACAGAGCCCUAUUCAGGCUUUGAGGGACUGAAGAGCUCAAGCGGCGCCCUUUGCCAAGUCCAUGCAUACCACCGCUUCCGCCAGACACUCGGGUCUCUGAGGCACCUACUCUGAGAGCUCCAAAGAGAGGCUGAGGCCAGUUCUCCCCUUUCCCAAGAAGAGUCUGAGACUGAAACCUUGAUGCUGAGAACACCUUUCCCCUUUCUGAUGCAAGCAGCUUGCAGAUUGUUAAUGCCGGAGCCUGAGGCAAGAAUGUCACAGACCUUUCCCAGGUGUUUGUUAAGGUUCUCCCAACAGGACGAUAAACUCAUCUGGAAGGCAGAGGGCCUGCCCAUUCAUAAACCUGUUGAUGUGGUCCCCAGAGGGCUGCACCCGGUGUCCUCAUGGAUACUAGUUGGGUUCAUUAACCACUGAACCACGUUAACCCCUGAGCCACGAUGGAAAUUCCUAAACAAAACCAUUUAAGCAAACUCAACCCAGCUUAUUUGAUGAAUUACCAGUUUAAGAUGGCAAGACCAACACUGUUGAUUCUGGGGCCAGAACUGGGACAAGUCCUUGAUUUGUCUACACUAGCUGUAUACACCAUCUACCUCCUGAGAGGAUUCAUUUUUCUUCCUAUUGCUAAAAAGGAGGAGUUGAGAAGAACUGGACCAAACAGCAGGUUGAGAGUACCCACAUCUGCCAAAGGGGCAGGGGGCUCAGAUGAAAUGAACAAAGUCAUGGCCCUCACGGGGUUCAGCUUCAUUGGAAAGACAGACCAGAAACCAACUCAUGACCAUGGGGAGAGCACCAUGAGGGUAUGGACAUGCUGCACGGACCCUAAAGGAGCAUGUUCUGAACUUGACUUGAGCUGAGCUGAGCCGGGGCGAAGGGGAGGCAGCCAAGGCAGACAUCUGAGAGGAGGUGCUGGCCCUGCAGCCACCUUUUAAAAGACGGUGUAAAACAUGGCUGUCUGUGCGGCGUGUGGAAGCAGGAAAGCGGGUGAGGUCGUGUCCGGGGCCGGAGCACAGUGUGCCUCAAGAGAGAGACCAGACAUCCCGUAAGAGGCAGAGAAGGCCCAUCGCUUUAAAAGCCUCAAGCGCAAUGCCAAGGAAUUCUAUCUUUAUUCUAAAACGAAUGGGCAGUCAUUAAAGGAUACUAAGCAGAAAAAUGCAUUGACUAGACAUGCAUGUUGGAAAAUGUACUUUGAUCAAAUUUGGUGUUGUUUAUGGUCAUUUCUAUAAAGUAUUUGGCAUUGGAAACUUAGUCAGGAACUUCACCCCCUAAUAGGACCAUUCUAAUUUCUUUAUAUUUCCUCUGAAAUUGACACCCGAAAUAAAGCUGACUUCCUAUGGAACUCUAUGCAUUUUCUGACUUUCCUUCCCUGGGCCACUCUGCUCCUUGGGGCCUCCUUUUGAAUCCAAGAAAUCAAUAUAAAAGUAAUUGAAUAUAAAUAAUCUAUCCACUUCUUUCCAUUCAUUUAUUUCUCAAGGCUAGUUUUUACAUGACUCUAUAUAGAAAAAAAAAUGUGACAAGGGACCGUCACUGUGUGUUUUAAAUGCAGACGAUAACUAAUGUUGAAGACAAUGAAAAAUAAGCCCAAAUUUCUAGUCUGUUAUAGGACACUGAUUGUAUUAGUCCAUGCAGAGGAAAUUUAGAAUCAAAACCAGUUAUAAAAAACAAACAUUAAAAACAGUUUGGGAGUUACCUUGCAGUGUAGUGAAUUAAGAAUCUGCUGUUGUCACUGCCACAGCUCAGGUCACUGCUGUGGCCUGGGUCCCAUCCCUGGCCUAGGAACUUCCACAUGCCAUGGGCAUGGCAAAAAAAAAAAAAA
RNAcentral lists this long non-coding RNA (2030 nucleotides) under Sus scrofa (pig). RNAcentral describes it as "lncRNA (ENSSSCG00040054462.1)". Lineage: Eukaryota; Metazoa; Chordata; Mammalia; Artiodactyla; Suidae. The record is from RNAcentral.